Molecule: ribosomal RNA, 468 nt
Filed under: uncultured bacterium
Lineage: Bacteria
Description: partial 16S ribosomal RNA
Rfam family: Bacterial small subunit ribosomal RNA
Source: RNAcentral
GACGAACGCUGGCGGCGUGCUUAACACAUGCAAGUCGAACGGAAAGGCCCUGCUUUUGUGGGGUGCUCGAGUGGCGAACGGGUGAGUAACACGUGAGUAACCUGCCCUUGACUCUGGGAUAACUUCAGGAAACUGGGGCUAAUACCGGAUAGGAGCUCCUGCUGCAUGGUGGGGGUUGGAAAGUUUCGGCGGUUGGGGAUGGACUCGCGGCUUAUCAGCUUGUUGGUGGGGUAGUGGCUUACCAAGGCUUUGACGGGUAGCCGGCCUGAGAGGGUGACCGGCCACAUUGGAACUGAGAUACGGCCCAGACUCCUACGGGAGGCAGCAGUGGGGAAUAUUGCACAAUGGGCGGAAGCCUGAUGCAGCAACGCCGCGUGCGGGAUGACGGCCUUCGGGUUGUAAACCGCUUUCGCCUGUGACGAAGCGUGAGUGACGGUAAUGGGUAAAGAAGCACCGGCUAACUACGUG